Molecule: ribosomal RNA, 467 nt
Filed under: uncultured Desulfobulbus sp.
Lineage: Bacteria; Pseudomonadati; Thermodesulfobacteriota; Desulfobulbia; Desulfobulbales; Desulfobulbaceae
Description: bacterial SSU rRNA
Rfam family: Bacterial small subunit ribosomal RNA
Source: RNAcentral
CCGCACAAGCGGUGGAGCAUGUGGUUUAAUUCGAUGCAACGCGAAGAACCUUACCUGGUCUUGACAUCCCGGAGACCCUUAGGAAACUAGGGGGUGCUUCCAUCUGGAAGAAUCUGGAGACAGGUGCUGCAUGGCUGUCGUCAGCUCGUGUCGUGAGAUGUUGGGUUAAGUCCCGCAACGAGCGCAACCCUUGCCUUUAGUUGCCAGCAGUUCGGCUGGGCACUCUAAAGGGACUGCCGGUGUUAAACCGGAGGAAGGUGGGGAUGACGUCAAGUCCUCAUGGCCUUUAUGACCAGGGCUACACACGUACUACAAUGGCCGAUACAAAGGGCAGCGACACUGCGAGGUGAAGCCAAUCCCGUAAAAUCGGUCUCAGUCCGGAUUGGAGUCUGCAACUCGACUCCAUGAAGUUGGAAUCGCUAGUAAUCGUGGAUCAGCAUGCCACGGUGAAUACGUUCCCGGGCCUU